Schistocerca piceifrons (Central American locust) is the source of this 1852-nucleotide long non-coding RNA. RefSeq lists it as uncharacterized. The transcript has 3 exons. The record is from RefSeq and is a predicted model, not a curated record. NCBI's taxonomy places the organism in Eukaryota, Metazoa, Arthropoda, Insecta, Orthoptera, Acrididae.
AUUCUGUUGCAAAGAUUCUCAGAUGAUUCAGGUUGCCUGCUGAUCAUCCAUACCACAGCUCACAUAAGAAGUUUUGUUUCCAAUAGUAGACUUCCCAGUGUGAUUCAAAAGUUUACGUGUUUUGGUGAAGAUGGAUCCUCCAUUUGAUGAAGACACAAGUAGUGAACCCAGUAUAUUGCAAAAUGCAGGAUCUAGUGAUGAUUAUGAUCCUUCAGAGAAUGAAAUGUUUGGUUCUUCAGAGGAAGAAGUGGAAAUAACCCAACACGAAUUACCAAAUCGAAGUAGAAAGAGGCAAAAAAAAGUGGGAGUACGAAGCAGGAAAGAAAGAAAAAAAGAAAUUUGGGUCAGGCAUAUGAAACUAAGGAAGGGAGAAAGGUUCCUGAAAAGACAUUCUCAAACAUAAAUUGUAACUGCAGAUUAAAAUGUGUAGAUAAGAUAUCAGAAGUGGCACGCAGAAGUUCAUUCGAAACAUUUUGGAAUUUAGGUUCUUUUUCCUGUCAGAAUGCUUUUCUAUGUGGGUUAAUUAAGCAAAUAAGUCCUCAACACAGGCGUCCUAGAGAUGGGUCAAGAUUGCCAAAGUCAACCAGCAAUCAAUUUUAUAUUCAAGUUGAUGGAACUAGUGUUAAAGUAUGCAAAAAUUAUUUCCUUCAAACAUUCCAAAUAUCAGAUGGGCGGAUGACCAGAGCUGUACAAAAGUUGAAAAUGGGAGAGCAACCAGGAUCGGACAAACGCGGAAGUGGGAUACCCGUGAACAAAAUCUCUGAUGAAAGAAUGGAUGUUUGGAAGCAUAUUUCAUCAUUCGCCUCAUACCUGUCUCAUUAUACAAGAGCUCAAAAUCCAAACAGAAAAUAUUUAUCCCCUGACCUUAAUGUACGUCUUAUGUAUAACUUAUACAGAGAAUACUGCAAAGAGAAAAAAAUGUUACCUGUUAAAGAGCCCAUUUAUCGCAGAUGUUUCAGUCAUGACUUCAACUUGCACUUUCAUGCUCCACAUAAAGAUACCUGUGUGAAGUGUGACAAGUACAAAAUACAGAUGUCCACUUUAUAAGAUGCCAAACUGACCACUUCUGUGGCCUAUUAUAAAAGAAACAUGUACUUAUACAAUAUUGGCUGUCAUGAGCUGUCAACUGAUAUUGGCUUUAUGUACACAUGGGAUGAGACAAUGGCCUCACGUGGGGCACAAGAAAUAGGUUCUUGUGUUACAAAACAUAUUACUACAAGAGCUUCAGCUUCAAAACAUGCUGUCAUGUAUAGUGACACUUGUACGGGGCAAAAUAGGAAUUUGAAAUUUGCAUUGUGUCUCAUGAAAUUGCUUCACACCAGUGUUAACAUCGACAUUAUGGAGCAUAAAUUUAUGGUCUGAUGAUUUAGAUUUUGGAUCUAUAGAAUCCUAUGCAAAAGGUAAAACAGUUUAUGUUCCUGCUGACUGGUGGUCCAUAAUCGCAAAAUCAAGAAGAAAGAGAGCUUUUAUUGUCACGCAAAUGUCACGUGAAGACUUCAAGUCUACGAAGAAUCUUGAACAAGCUAUUACAAGGAGAAAACAAAAGUCGCUAAAAAAAACAGUGUCGUGGCUUAAUAUGCAGUGGAUUCGUUUACUGAAGAACGAACCUUUUAUGCUCUAUUACAAGGAGACUCUUAAUGAGGAUUUUCCAUUCUCUGCGCUAUGUCUAAAGCCAGCCAAACUAGGAAGGCCAGUUUCACUUGGACGUAUUGCUAUGGAAUACCUAUACCAUGGACCAAGACCUGUAACAAAGUAAAAGGAAAGAGACAUACUGGAUCUUCUACCAUACAUUCCACCCAUCAACCAUGCUUACUUCCAGGGACUUACAACAGCUGAAGCAACAGUAGAUGAU